ACGUAGGAGGCGAGCGUUAUCCGGAUUUACUGGGCGUAAAGCGCGUGCAGGCGGUGCGAUAAGUCGUGCGUGAAAGCGCCCAGGCUUAACCGGGCGAGGACAAUGAAGACUGGUCAGCUAGAGGACGGUAGAGGGGUGUGGAAUUCCGGGUGUAGUGGUGAAAUGCGUAGAGAUCCGGAGGAACACCAGUGGCGAAAGCGGCCUCCUGGACCAUUUCUGACGCUCAGACGCGAAAGCUAGGGUAGCGAACGG
Molecule: ribosomal RNA, 252 nt
Filed under: uncultured prokaryote
Description: partial 16S ribosomal RNA
Rfam family: Bacterial small subunit ribosomal RNA
Source: RNAcentral